AGUGGGGAAUAUUGCGCAAUGGGGGAAACCCUGACGCAGCAACGCCGCGUGGGUGAUGAAGGUUUUCGGAUCGUAAAACCCUGUUUUCUGGGACGAUAAUGACGGUACCAGAUGAGGAAGCCACGGCUAACUACGUGCCAGCAGCCGCGGUAAUACGUAGGUGGCAAGCGUUGUCCGGAUUUACUGGGCGUAAAGGGUGCGUAGGCGGAUGCUUAAGUGAGAUGUGAAAUACCUAGGCUUAACUUAGGGGCUGCAUUUCAAACUGGGCAUCUAGAGUACAGGAGAGGGAAACGGAAUUCCUAGUGUAGCGGUGAAAUGCGUAGAGAUUAGGAAGAACACCAAUGGCGAAGGCAGCCACCUGGGCCAAUACUGACGCUGAGGUACGAAAGCGUGGGGAGCAAACAGGAUUAGAUACCCUGGUAGUCCACGCCCUAAACGAUG
Molecule: ribosomal RNA, 441 nt
Filed under: uncultured Clostridium sp.
Lineage: Bacteria; Bacillati; Bacillota; Clostridia; Eubacteriales; Clostridiaceae
Description: bacterial SSU rRNA
Rfam family: Bacterial small subunit ribosomal RNA
Source: RNAcentral